This is a long non-coding RNA of Chinchilla lanigera (long-tailed chinchilla), 1658 nucleotides long. RefSeq lists it as uncharacterized. NCBI's taxonomy places the organism in Eukaryota, Metazoa, Chordata, Mammalia, Rodentia, Chinchillidae. The transcript has 2 exons. The record is from RefSeq and is a predicted model, not a curated record.
GUGUUCCUCCAGUCACUCACCUCAAAAUCCAGCUUUACAACGCCUGCCACUUUGGUUCUUUGUGGAGGAUGAGCGUUACCAGUUGUUCCUGGCUUCCCUGCAGAAAAGAAAGAAGGUGUAUCAACCUUUGACAAUCACGCCACGUUCGAAACACCAGAGGCUUAUUCUCCCCAUAGGACGCCUAUAGAAAGGACAGCUGAAGUUUUGCUUUGAUAACAGAAAGGAUGGAUUUCUGAUGGAAGGAGAGUUCUGAAUACCACAUGGAUUGUGCAUGUAAGAAAAGUAGCCCUAUCAGAGAAAGAAUCAAACAAAGAGACUCUUACCUGUGAUACCAUUGUGCCCUGAUAAAAAGCAAAAUGCUUAAGACCCAUAAAAGAAGUGCACCUGUGUGCACUUCUUCUAGUGAAAUGAGUAUCCAAAGCAAGUUAAAGGAUGACGAUGGCUUCCGCUGUGGCUUGGGUCUCUGUGAUACCGUGGGGGUCUUCACAGCAAAGAGACACUGGCUCUACCUGAGGCUGCCUCAUGUUCCCGAUCAACACAGAAACACAGGUCUGUUUUUCCUUUGAAAUGACUGAUCCCUGGGAGGACUUUUUUCCCUUCAUAAUCCUCCCCUCGUCAGUAUCUUGGUCAUUUGUUUCCCAGUUUGUCUUCUCAAUGUGAAGCAAACAUCUGGGCUAGGAAGUGAAUUUCUCAUCAGAGCAGACUGAAAAUCAAGAAUUGCUCGCCACAGAUCACUCCUAGAUAAAAACCACAAGGUGGGCAAAGAGCGCUGGCCGCUCCUCCUUGUCCCACACCAGUGAUGGCUUAAGGAGGAUGUGGGUGGGGAAAGGACAGUGACCGGAAGAGAGGUCUGAGUGCGACUGACUGUCCCCCUCUGUUCACCAAAACGUCUACAUAAGGAAUGCUAGAUCACAGCCAGUGCAUCAGCGCUUUAAGCAUAGAUCGAAUGUUGAUGGUUAAAUAUUCUUCAAAAGGCAUACCUUAAAAUACAACAUGCAGGAUGACAAAACAAAUUGAAAGCCUAUAUUUGCUUGGAUAUUAAAUAAGAGCCCUUAAUCAUAAAUGAACCAUGUGAUUAAUUUGAAGGCAGAAGUACUAGGCAGAAGCCCAAUGCAAAAAGCGAAUUUCAAUAAAUUAGGCCUUGGAUAUCUAGCUUUUCAAAAGGCCUAUAUGUAAAAAUGAUAUAAUGGGUGUUUUCCCCUGAAAUACCAAUUUUUUGUUUUAUGAAAAAAUAAGACAAAUUUUCGUAACCAAUAAUAAAAGAAUGACAAUAGCUAGUGAGUUCUUAAGGUUCAGACAUAAUGAAAUUUUUUGAUGUCUACUGUCCUAAGAAAAUAUAGCAAAACAGAAAACCGUAACAGAUAAUUCUAAGAAUGUGGAAUAUGGCAAAAGAGUGAGGAAAAAAAGGAAAAACAAAGACAGUCAUAUAUUUAAAGUUUAUUUUAUUGUUUCAUCAAAAUGUUUCUUUUCCCUGUCAAAAAUUAUCAUACAUCUUAUACAAAACAGUAUAAAUAACCCUGAUUUUUUUCAAAUUCCAUAUAUAAAAGUAGUACCUUCUGUUAAAAAUAAUUACAACAUAUGGAAUGAGAAAAUAUAUAGAAUACAUCCUUUCAAGAAUCUUAAAUCCACACUCUUUAAAUAAAAGUGAUUUAUAACAA